Gallus gallus (chicken) is the source of this 1961-nucleotide long non-coding RNA. Lineage: Eukaryota; Metazoa; Chordata; Aves; Galliformes; Phasianidae. The record is from Ensembl.
GGAUUUAGGAUGCUUAGUGAGAUGGAGCUGUGGUCGGAUCAGCUGAUCCCGUUCUUUGAGCAGGGAUAUAGCAUGCAGGCGGACGGACGUGCAUAAGGAGGAAGCAGAGGGGAGCUGGGGGAGUGGAGAAGGGAUGACUUUCCUCUGAUGUCAAAAAUCCCAUCAUUCAGUGCUCGCAGGGAGAAAGACAAGAGGAGAAGAAUGUGGAGAGAAAGAGGGAGAGAGGGAGAAGAAAUGAAGGGAAGGGACGCGCUCAUUUUUUCCCCUAAUUCUGCAGGGUAACGUUUACCACCCUCAUACAUGGAGAAAUGAGCCUGAUCUCGAGUGCCAAGUUCUGAGCAGCCUUGCAGCCCCAGGGACUGCUUACAUCCCCAUCCCGAUCUGGACUUGGUUAGUACUGUCUUGAUAUGAAUAAUCAGGUAGAUAAAAAUGGUCAAGAAACUUACUGCAGUUUCUCCAGGGCUCUCUUUGUGUUAUCUUUUAUUCCCGGCAGUUUUAAUUUUCUGGUCAUUGUCUGUGUUUGUCUGAGAUGUUAGAUACGCAGCUCUCCUAGGAUUUCUGCAGUGUGGUGAGGAAGGACCAGAGCUGGCUGUGAGUGAGUGUGAUCGAGCAGCAGAUGCAGGAGGGCUGGAGUUGCCUGCAGCACUGUCCAGGACUGCACUGGGGGAAAUCAAGACCUGAGCAGAUCCUUUUUUAUUUCCAUUCAUUCUCAGGGUGGUUCUUCUCAAACCAAAAGGAGCAGUCAGGUAUAAAAGGGAAGCGAUGCUCGUUAGGGCAGUGUGGGUUCCCAUUCCGGAGCACGCAAAGCCUUCAGCUGGACCUGAAAGCCGGGCAGUGUGCUGGGGUUUGCUCCAGGGCACCACCCGCAGCAUUGGCUUUUCUGGUGCAUGGCAGUGCUGAAUUUGCAGACUGUAGGUUUGGAUUCCCCCUGGGAAGUUCUCAUCUCAUGAAAUGUGGUGCACAAAGCAGAGAAAGGCGGGUGCUGGCUGGCUGUCAGUGGGAGAGGGUUGGAGAUGAAGAAGUGGAAGGAGGGCUUAAGGAGAGCGAUGGAUUUCCUGCGCCCAAAUAACAAAGAAGAGGGAAGAAAACCAACACAAAUGUAAUUUUGUCCUGGCUCAAUGAUGCACUGUCAGUCACUGAGGGAUGAAUUGUGCUGUGCAGCAGUAGUCACCUUCCACGAACGCUUCAGGCUUGAUUUAAUACCCCUCUUCCUAAAAGUAGAAGAAAGCACUCCUCGUCCAGUUGGGCCUAGCAAUAUGGCAGCGCACAUUCGAUGCUGAACCCUUGCUCCUCCUGUUCUUGGUCUGAAUUUUGGGCGCUGGGAGCUCUGGAAAAGCUGAAUGCUUUUGAAGGUAGGUAUGGGAGUCUGAAGCGUAGGGAUAUAAAUGUAGGCAAUCAAUUUAGUAGAUAACCUCUGGACAGAUGGUGAAAGUUUAACAUCUCUGUUGCUGGAUGGAGCAAGAGUUGCAUAUAACUCAGUUAAAGCACUAUUCCAAUAAAGGGAAAUUGUAUUUAUUAAUUGCAUGCUUAGCAGGGUGUGCAGGUUGAAGUGUUUUAUUUUAAGAGCCUACACAAGAAGUGGGGGAACUUUUGAAAGCGUCAAAAUAGCAAAAUGAUUUUCCACGUGCUGACUGCUUCGUUUUAUAGGGAAUACUCUGAAGAGAGAGGAGACGCAGCAAGUAAAAGUGCGGAUCCACUUUGAGCAACAAUUGCUCUGACUGAUUUUGUGCACAGGCUGCACGUGGAGCUCCCAGCAGCCUGCUCUGUGGCCUAAUUCCCCACCAGUUGCCCACCCAAUAAAACUUCAUUAAUGGGAAAUGUUAGUUACGCCAGCAAGAAAACUUGCAAACUCUGGGGGAAGGAGGGGAGGUUUCUUGCUGGCAACUUUGCUCCAUGAUUCUCUUUGAGGUCUUAUUAGAAAAAAUUCUAAAGCAGUUUAAUAUCUGUCUCUGUCAUUGUAG